CUAGCUACAGGCUUAACACAUGCAAGUCGAGGGGCAGCAUUUCAGUUUGCUUGCAAACUGGAGAUGGCGACCGGCGCACGGGUGAGUAACACGUAUCCAACCUGCCGAUAACUCGGGGAUAGCCUUUCGAAAGAAAGAUUAAUACCCGAUGGUAUAAUCAGACCGCAUGGUCUUGUUAUUAAAGAAUUUCGGUUAUCGAUGGGGAUGCGUUCCAUUAGGCAGUUGGUGAGGUAACGGCUCACCAAACCUUCGAUGGAUAGGGGUUCUGAGAGGAAGGUCCCCCACAUUGGAACUGAGACACGGUCCAAACUCCUACGGGAAGCAGCAGUGAGGAAUAUUGGUCAAUGGGCGCAGGCCUGAACCAGCCAAGUAGCGUGAAGGAUGACUGCCCUAUGGGUUGUAAACUUCUUUUAUAUGGGAAUAAAGUUUUCCACGUGUGGAAUUUUGUAUGUACCAUAUGAAUAAGGAUCGGCUAACUCCGUGCCAGCAGCCGCGGUAAUACGGAGGAUCCGAGCGUUAUCCGGAUUUAUUGGGUUUAAAGGGAGCGUAGGUGGACAGUUAAGUCAGUUGUGAAAGUUUGCGGCUCAACCGUAAAAUUGCAGUUGAUACUGGCUGUCUUGAGUACAGUAGAGGUGGGCGGAAUUCGUGGUGUAGCGGUGAAAUGCUUAGAUAUCACGAAGAACUCCGAUUGCGAAGGCAGCUCACUGGACUGCAACUGACACUGAUGCUCGAAAGUGUGGGUAUCAAACAGGAUUAGAUACCCUGGUAGUCCACACAGUAAACGAUGAAUACUCGCUGUUUGCGAUAUACAGUAAGCGGCCAAGCGAAAGCAUUAAGUAUUCCACCUGGGGAGUACGCCGGCAACGGUGAAACUCAAAGGAAUUGACGGGGGCCCGCACAAGCGGAGGAACAUGUGGUUUAAUUCGAUGAUACGCGAGGAACCUUACCCGGGCUUAAAUUGCAUUUGAAUAUAUUGGAAACAGUAUAGCCGUAAGGCAAAUGUGAAGGUGCUGCAUGGUUGUCGUCAGCUCGUGCCGUGAGGUGUCGGCUUAAGUGCCAUAACGAGCGCAACCCUUAUCUUUAGUUACUAACAGGUCAUGCUGAGGACUCUAGAGAGACUGCCGUCGUAAGAUGUGAGGAAGGUGGGGAUGACGUCAAAUCAGCACGGCCCUUACGUCCGGGGCUACACACGUGUUACAAUGGGGGGUACAGAAGGCAGCUACCUGGUGACAGGAUGCUAAUCCCAAAAGCCUCUCUCAGUUCGGAUCGAAGUCUGCAACCCGACUUCGUGAAGCUGGAUUCGCUAGUAAUCGCGCAUCAGCCAUGGCGCGGUGAAUACGUUCCCGGGCCUUGUACACACCGCCCGUCAAGCCAUGAAAGCCGGGGGUACCUGAAGUACGUAACCGCAAGGAGCGUCCUAGGGUAAAACUGGUAAUUGGGG
RNAcentral lists this ribosomal RNA (1441 nucleotides) under uncultured organism. RNAcentral's name for it is "SSU rRNA". It matches the Rfam family "Bacterial small subunit ribosomal RNA". The record is from RNAcentral.